Molecule: ribosomal RNA, 474 nt
Filed under: Saprolegnia sp.
Lineage: Eukaryota; Oomycota; Saprolegniomycetes; Saprolegniales; Saprolegniaceae
Description: partial small subunit ribosomal RNA
Rfam family: Bacterial small subunit ribosomal RNA
Source: RNAcentral
AGAGUAUAAUCGCAAGAUUGAAAUUCAAAGGAAUUGACGGGAGUCUACACAAGCGGUGGAGCAUGUGGUUUAAUUCGAUAAUACGCGCAGAACCUUACCAAUUCUUGUAAAUAUUUUUAAAAAAUAUUUUUAAAAAAUACAGGCGUUGCAUGGCUGUCGUCAGCUCGUGUUGUGAGAUGUUUGGUUUAUUCCCUUAACGAGCGAAACCCUUAUUUUUAGUUGCUAAUUUUUAAAUAGAAAGUAUCUAUAUAAAAAUGCACUUUAAAAAAAGUUAAUGACAUAUUAAUAGAAAUGGGGAUUACGUCAAGUCUUCAUGGCCCUUAUGAAUUGGGCUACACACGUGCUACAAUGAUAAAUACAAUGAGAGGCAAUAAUAAUAAAAAAUUGGAGCAAAUCUUUAAAAUUUAUCUUAGUUCGGAUUAUGGGCUGCAACUCGCCCAUAUAAAGUUGGAAUCGCUAGUAAUCGCAAAACAG